AAAACCGAACGUGUCGGCGCCGACACAAUUUACCAUGCGGUAUUAAUGUUUUCAUAACUCAGCAACCGUUUGCACUAUGAAAAAAAAUCAAAUUGCGUCUGAUAGAAGACAUCUUGCGCUUUAAGACAAUAUACAGCUUAAUACGGUAACUGCAUGCUUUCCAGCAGCAAAUCACAGCAGCUUUCGGGGAGAGGGGGAAGGGCGGAGUUGAAGCGGGAGAUACAGAGCCCAGCAGGUUUGAAAGUUUGAGAGUGUGAAAUAUAAACAAAAACGAACAAAAAACAUGGCGAAAAAAGGUUUUACAUGAGAGGAGGCGAUUGAUUUGAUCUCUGAUGACACCUGGGAAGAGGCUGAACAUGAUUCAUCGGACCCGGAGUCUGUAUUCAGAUGUUGAGGCGUAUGCUGCUGGCUUUGAUCCAGUCGUGGAUUGUGUGGCUUCUCCAGUUAUCUACGAAGAAGCAAAUGGGCCAUCUACAUCGAACACAACACCAUCUCAGAGGGGCCGGGGCCGUGGUCGCAGCUGUAGCUGUAUAAUAAGUACAUGGGGGGACUUGACACCUCCAACAAGAUGCUCAGAACAAAGUCGGUGCCCCAUAAAACAAGUCAUAUGUGACCAUUUUCCAGCAUUUCCUAGAUAUUGCAGUGACCAACAGCUUCAUUUUACACAAAGAGCUGUGUGCCAUCCACCAUGAUAAGCUCAUGACACGGCAAAACUUUCAGGAGCUGCUAGCUGCUCUGCUCACAGAUGUUCCCCUGGAUGGCCGGCUGAGAGAGAGAUGCGAUCAUCUGCCUGUUCCUGUGAGUGAUACUCAAGACCUUUCACAAAGUUGCAUACGAUGCAAAAGGAGCACCCCAUGGACAUGCCAGGAAUGUGAUGUGGGACUAUGCUUGCAGUCCUGUAGACAGGAACUGCUUCAGAGAGCCCCACAUUUAAAUGACUGGAUUGAAGGAUCCAAAAACGCCUGGAGAACUGGAGUACCACAAAUGGCUCCUGAGUGAAAACCGUGCAAUCCAGUGUCUCAAAAAUACUUGUAUAUAUGUAUUAUAGUUCCUUUUUCAAGAUUGAGGCAUUAGAUUCUUUCGAUCAUGAGUUUUCAGAUUUUUUCUAAAUAAAAACCAGUACAAUUUC
Carassius auratus (goldfish) is the source of this 1129-nucleotide long non-coding RNA. RefSeq lists it as uncharacterized. The record is from RefSeq and is a predicted model, not a curated record. Lineage: Eukaryota; Metazoa; Chordata; Actinopteri; Cypriniformes; Cyprinidae. The transcript has 2 exons.